UGAGGAACCUGUCCCGAUCUCUGGAAUAACGAGUGGAAACAUUCGCUAAUACCGGAUGCCGUCGGACCAUCGCAUGGUGGACUGACGAAAGGGUUACCGGAUUGGGAGGGACUCGCGGCCUAUCAGCUAGUUGGUGAGGUAACGGCUCACCAAGGCGUCGACGGGUANCUGGUCUGAGAGGAUGAUCAGCCACACUGGGACUGAGACACGGCCCAGACUCCUACGGGAGCAG
RNAcentral lists this ribosomal RNA (232 nucleotides) under uncultured bacterium. RNAcentral describes it as "partial 16S ribosomal RNA". It matches the Rfam family "Bacterial small subunit ribosomal RNA", at positions 118 to 347 of the family's 1533-position model. The record is from RNAcentral.